GACGAACGCUGGCGGCGUGCUUAACACAUGCAAGUCGAACGGAAAGGCCCUGCUUUUGUGGGGUGCUCGAGUGGCGAACGGGUGAGUAACACGUGAGUAACCUGCCCUUGACUUUGGGAUAACUUCAGGAAACUGGGGCUAAUACCGGGUAGGAGCUCCUGCUGCAUGGUGGGGGUUGGAAAGUUUCGGCGGUUGGGGAUGGACUCGCGGCUUAUCAGCUUGUUGGUGGGGUAGUGGCUUACCAAGGCUUUGACGGGUAGCCGGCCUGAGAGGGUGACCGGCCACAUUGGGACUGAGAUACGGCCCAGACUCCUACGGGAGGCAGCAGUGGGGAAUAUUGCACAAUGGGCGGAAGCCUGAUGCAGCAACGCCGCGUGCGGGAUGACGGCCUUCGGGUUGUAAACCGCCUUCGCCUGUGACGAAGCGUGAGUGACGGUAAUGGGUAAAGAAGCACCGGCUAACUACGUG
Molecule: ribosomal RNA, 468 nt
Filed under: uncultured bacterium
Lineage: Bacteria
Description: partial 16S ribosomal RNA
Rfam family: Bacterial small subunit ribosomal RNA
Source: RNAcentral